ACGAAAACUUUUCGAAAGAUAUGUCCGUAUAUAAAAUCGGUAUAUAAGUGGAAAAAUAGUUACAUACAGAUUUUAUAUACGGAUUUAUAAUUAAUUAAUAAAUAAAUAAAAUUAAGUUAUUUAGAAUGCAUAUAGAAAAAGUCGCAAACCCUAUUUUCUUCUUCUUCACUCGUGCUGCCAUUUCUCGUUUGGAAAAAGGGUUGAGCCACGCCUCCUUCAAUCCAGCCACUAAACCUAUUCUUCCUUCUCUUUCACUGCAACCCUUCCUAAAUCAGUGUUCUGGUCGUGGUUCUCUCUCGUCGAGUCCUCUAUCCUCUUUAGUGGAGUCUCGGUUCUUUUUCGUUAAGCUCUCUAAAACCCUAAUUUUCUCUCAUUCGAACUAUCAUUGUGCGUCCUUGGUAACGGUUAAUUGGUAAGUAAUGUUUAAUUUUGAUUGAGCUUAAUUUUUUAAUUGCAAAACCCUAAUCCUUUUUUUUUGUUCUACUGGGCAUAAAAUUGCAAUUCUCCAUCCUCACUCUCUUCUCUUAAGCCUCAAUUUCUCUCAUCCAUUUUCGAUUUAUGCAAUGACUCGCACGAUAAGGUUCUGUUUCUU
This 592-nucleotide long non-coding RNA is filed under the name Vigna radiata. RNAcentral describes it as "long non-coding RNA (VRAD_LNC011093)". The record is from RNAcentral. Lineage: Eukaryota; Viridiplantae; Streptophyta; Magnoliopsida; Fabales; Fabaceae.